Molecule: ribosomal RNA, 2562 nt
Filed under: Triticum aestivum (bread wheat)
Lineage: Eukaryota; Viridiplantae; Streptophyta; Magnoliopsida; Poales; Poaceae
Description: partial small subunit ribosomal RNA
Source: RNAcentral
AUGGCGGCCGUCGGCAGGCUGCCGGGCGCGGCGGCGGCCCUGCUGCUCGCGCUGCUCUGCCUGGCGGGGACGUCGGCGGCGACCAACGUGACGUACGACCACCGCGCGCUGGUCAUCGACGGCGUGCGCCGCGUGCUCGUCUCCGGCUCCAUCCACUACCCGCGGAGCACCCCCGACAUGUGGCCGGGGCUGAUGCAGAAGGCCAAGGACGGCGGGCUGGACAUGGUGGAGACGUACGUCUUCUGGGACGCCCACGAGCCCGUCCGGGGACAGUACGACUUCGAGGGCAGGAAUGACCUGGUGAGGUUCGUCAAGGCCGCCGCCGACGCCGGGCUCUACGUGCACCUCCGGAUCGGCCCCUACGUCUGCGCCGAGUGGAACUACGGAGGCUUCCCGCUAUGGCUGCACUUCAUCCCGGGGAUCAAGUUCCGCACCGACAACGAGCCUUUCAAGACGGAGAUGCAGCGGUUCACGGAGAAGGUGGUGGCGACGAUGAAGGGCGCGGGGCUGUACGCGUCGCAGGGCGGGCCCAUCAUCCUGUCGCAGAUCGAGAACGAGUACGGCAACAUCGACGCGUCCUACGGCGCGCCCGGCAAGUCGUACAUCCGCUGGGCCGCCGGGAUGGCCGUCGCGCUCGACACCGGCGUGCCCUGGGUCAUGUGCCAGCAGGCCGACGCGCCGGCGCCCCUGAUCAACACGUGCAACGGGUUCUACUGCGACCAGUUCACGCCGAGCCUGCCCAGCAGUCCCAAGCUGUGGACCGAGAACUGGAGCGGCUGGUUCCUCUCCUUCGGCGGCGCCGUGCCCUACCGCCCCACCGAGGACCUCGCCUUCGCCGUCGCCCGCUUCUACCAGCGCGGCGGCACCCUGCAGAACUACUACAUGUACCACGGCGGGACCAACUUCGGCCGCAGCUCGGGAGGGCCCUUCAUCUCCACGAGCUACGACUACGACGCCCCCAUCGACGAGUACGGGCUAGUGAGGCAGCCAAAGUGGGGCCACUUGAGGGAUGUCCACAAGGCGAUAAAGAUGUGCGAGCCUGCACUCAUAGCAACCGAUCCAUCAUACAUGUCCCUUGGUCAAAAUGCUGAGGCGCACGUAUACAAGACCGGUUCACUGUGCGCCGCAUUCCUCGCCAAUAUAGACAAUCAGUCUGACAAGACUGUCACCUUCAACGGCAAGGCGUAUAAACUCCCUGCGUGGUCCGUCAGCAUCCUUCCUGACUGCACGAAUGUGGUGCUGAACACUGCCCAGAUCAACUCUCAGGUAGCAUCUACACAGAUGAGAAACCUGGGGUUCAGCACUCAGGCGUCAGACGGCUCGUCCGUCGAAGCAGAACUCGCUUCUUCUACCUGGAGCUACGCCGUAGAGCCUGUCGGUAUCACAAAGGAGAACGCCAUGACAAAGCCUGGGCUGAUGGAGCAGAUAAACACCACCGCAGACGCCAGCGAUUUCCUGUGGUACUCAACAAGCAUCGUCGUGGCGGGUGGUGAACCGUAUCUGAAUGGUAGUCAGUCCAAUCUGCUGGUCAACUCACUUGGGCAUGUUCUUCAGGUCUUCAUCAAUGGCAAGUUUGCAGGUAGCGGUAAGGGUAAUGCUAGUAGCUCCCUGAUCUCAUUGACAACACCAGUUACACUUGUACCUGGAAAGAAUAAAAUAGAUCUUCUGAGUGCAACAGUUGGUCUGACGAACUAUGGUGCAUUCUUUGACCUAGUUGGUGCUGGAAUUACCGGUCCAGUAAAGCUGACUGGGCCGAAGGGUGCGCUCGAUCUAUCUUCUGCAGAUUGGACAUACCAGAUCGGACUCAGAGGAGAAGACUUGCACCUGUAUAAUCCCUCAGAGGCCUCUCCAGAAUGGGUAUCAGAUAACUCUUACCCAACCAAUAACCCUUUGACCUGGUACAAGAGCAAAUUUACAACUCCUGCAGGUGAUGAUCCUGUUGCCAUAGACUUCACAGGAAUGGGGAAAGGUGAGGCGUGGGUGAACGGGCAGAGCAUUGGUCGCUACUGGCCGACAAAUAUCGCUCCACAAAGUGGCUGUGUUAAUUCAUGCAACUACAGAGGACCUUACGGCGCAAGCAAAUGCCUGAAGAAAUGUGGGCAGCCAUCGCAGACUUUGUAUCAUGUGCCCCGUUCGUUUCUCCAACCAGGCAGCAAUGAUAUAGUCCUUUUCGAGCAGUUUGGUGGUGACCCAAGCAAGAUAUCCUUCACGACGAAACAGACAGAAAGUGUAUGCGCACACGUGUCUGAGGAUCAUCCCGACCAAAUCGAUAGCUGGAUCUCUCCCCAGCAGAAAUUACAGAGGUCUGGGCCAGCACUUCGUCUGGAAUGCCCCAAAGAAGGUCAGGUCAUCAGCAGCAUCAAGUUUGCAAGCUUCGGGACACCGAGUGGCACCUGUGGGAGCUACAGCCAUGGCGAAUGCAGCAGCUCUCAGGCUCUGGCAGUCGCUCAGGAGGCAUGCGUCGGGGUGAGCAGUUGCAGUGUGCCGGUGUCAGCAAAGAACUUCGGAGAUCCAUGCAGAGGAGUCACAAAAAGCCUUGUGGUCGAAGCUGCAUGCUCAUGA